GAUUAUGUUUGUAAAUGGAUUUUACACUAUGAUUGCAAAUCAUUAGCUUUGAGGUUCGAUUCCUCCAUAAUCU
This is a non-coding RNA of Triticum urartu, 73 nucleotides long. The record is from Rfam. Lineage: Eukaryota; Viridiplantae; Streptophyta; Magnoliopsida; Poales; Poaceae.